This 583-nucleotide long non-coding RNA is filed under the name Panax ginseng (ginseng). RNAcentral describes it as "long non-coding RNA (PGIN_LNC006520)". The record is from RNAcentral. Lineage: Eukaryota; Viridiplantae; Streptophyta; Magnoliopsida; Apiales; Araliaceae.
CGGCUUGUUGUUUUAUUGAAAAUUUCUGUUACAUAGAGCUUUAUAAUAGAUAGUAUUUAUAGCCAGUAAUCAUAUUCCAACCCUACUUCACAUGGCUCAAAUACGCAUAAUGUCCUUCCAAAAAACAAACCAUUAAAUUUUAGUCCGCCAACCGGCGAAGACCGCGCCGCUCCCAAGAUGUCACUGGCGCACCCCGCGCCACAUGUGCAGAAACUACACCGAUCUUGACACGCCCCGCACGACUCUCAGUCUUAUAUCGGCGCGCCCCCGAGCAGAUUGGAGCGAAGCGACACACUAGCCUUUUUCAAUAGGUUCUAUGUUAUGAGUUGCAAGUUCCAACAAUUACUAACAUAAAAUUAUCAAAAAAAAUAUAUAAUUAAAAUAGGAGUUAUUUCUAGAUCUUCUUCUUCUUACCUUGAAAUAAAGUCUCAAAAUGAAUGGCCACAUUCAUUCCGUAUUCAGUGCCGCAUUUCGUGUGAGACGGUUCCAAAGCACAUACAGCAAUUACUACCAUGGGGUCAUGGUCUUUUAUUUUUGAAGGGAUGAAGAAAACAUUGCUGGAGAUGUGAAGAAGUUGAAGUCA